RNAcentral lists this unclassified non-coding RNA (692 nucleotides) under Hevea brasiliensis (rubber tree). The record is from RNAcentral. Lineage: Eukaryota; Viridiplantae; Streptophyta; Magnoliopsida; Malpighiales; Euphorbiaceae.
GAAUGACUUUCCAGAUAUGGAUGUGAUCAGUAUUUCUGGCAAUUUCUGUUCGGACAAGAAACCGGCCGCCGUGAACUGGAUUGAGGGGAGAGGCAAAUCGGUGGUUUGUGAGGCAAUCAUCAAUGAGAAUAUUGUAAAGAAAGUCCUUAAGACCACUGUGCCGGCCCUUGUUGAACUCAACAUAAUCAAGAAUCUUGCAGGGUCGGCAGUGGCUGGUGCUCUCGGUGGAUUCAACGCCCAUGCCAGUAAUAUUGUCUCUGCCGUCUUCAUCGCCACCGGUCAAGAUCCUGCUCAGAAUGUGGAGAGCUCUCACUGUAUUACCAUGAUGGAAGCUGUGAAUGAUGGCAAGGAUCUUCACGUGUCGGUAACUAUGCCAUCUAUAGAGGUUGGUACAGUUGGGGGUGGGACCCAACUGGCAUCUCAGUCUGCUUGCUUGGACCUCCUCGGUGUGAAGGGUGCAAGCAUGGAGUCGCCUGGAGCCAAUGCAAGGCUCCUGGCCACUAUCAUAGCUGGUGCUGUUUUAGCUGGGGAGCUCUCUCUCAUGUCCGCCCUCGCGGCUGGUCAGCUUGUGAGGAGCCACAUGAAGUAUAACAGAUCCAGCAAAGACAUGUCUAAGGCUGUCUCUUGAGAUGCUCUCUCGUCGUCAACGUUGAUAAUUUAAUUUGUUUGUUGUUUGUUACGGUGAACUCGAG